CCUACGUGUGGCAGCAGUCGGGAAUAUUGCGCAAUGGAGGAAACUCUGACGCAGUGACGCCGCGUAUAGGAAGAAGUUUUUCGGAAUGUAAACUAUUGUCGUUAGGGAAGAGAAAGGACAGUACCUAAGGAGGAAGCUCCGGCUAACUACGUGCCAGCAGCCGCGGUAAUACGUAGGGAGCGAGCGUUAUCCGGAAUUAUUGGGUGUAAAGGGUGCGUAGACGGGAAAACAAGUUAGUUGUGAAAUCCCUCGGCUUAACUGAGGAACUGCAACUAAAACUAUUUGUUUUGAGUGCAGGAGAGGUAAGUGGAAUUCCUGGUGUAGCGGUGAAAUGCGUAGAUAUUGCGCAGAACUCCGAUUGCGAAGGCAGCAUACCGGCGGCGAUCUGACGCUGAGGCACGAAAGCGUGGGUAUCGAACAGGAUUAGAUACCCCUGUAGUC
Molecule: ribosomal RNA, 441 nt
Filed under: uncultured bacterium
Lineage: Bacteria
Description: partial 16S ribosomal RNA
Rfam family: Bacterial small subunit ribosomal RNA
Source: RNAcentral